UAACCAUGCUAGGGGUGCCUGUAUAAGAGGCUGAGAUUAAACCCUUAACACCUGAGUCCGGGUAAUACCGGCGGAGGGAAGCUGUUACUACAGGAA
Molecule: regulatory RNA element, 96 nt
Organism: Mastigocoleus testarum BC008
Lineage: Bacteria; Bacillati; Cyanobacteriota; Cyanophyceae; Nostocales; Hapalosiphonaceae
Rfam family: TPP riboswitch aptamer (THI element)
About the family: Vitamin B(1) in its active form thiamin pyrophosphate (TPP) is an essential coenzyme that is synthesised by coupling of pyrimidine and thiazole moieties in bacteria. The previously detected thiamin-regulatory element, thi box was extended, resulting in a new, highly conserved RNA secondary structure, the THI element, which is widely distributed in eubacteria and also occurs in some archaea. Analysis of operon structures identified a large number of new candidate thiamin-regulated genes, mostly transporters, in various prokaryotic organisms.
Source: Rfam